AACGAACGCUGGCGGCAUGCCUAACACAUGCAAGUCGAACGGGAUCCUAGCUUGCUAGGUGAGAGUGGCGGACGGGUGAGUAACACGUGGGAAUCUGCCUUUUUGGUUCGGGAUAACCGCGGGAAACUGCGGCUAAUACCGAAUGCCCUCGAGAGAGGAAAGAUUUAUCGCCAGAAGAGGAGCCCGCGUCCGAUUAGGUAGUUGGUGGGGUAAAGCCUACCAAGCCGACGAUCGGUAGCUGGUCUGAGAGGAUGAUCAGCCACACUGGGACUGAGAUACGGCCCAGACUCCUACGGGAGGC
RNAcentral lists this ribosomal RNA (301 nucleotides) under uncultured bacterium. RNAcentral's name for it is "bacterial SSU rRNA". It matches the Rfam family "Bacterial small subunit ribosomal RNA", at positions 29 to 349 of the family's 1533-position model. The record is from RNAcentral.